CUGCCAGCUAUUCCCAGAUUCCCAUUCCUCGUUGCCUUCCCUAAACCUCUCCUGAGGGAUCUUCUAUUACACAGCAAGAUUAUCUCCAUCCCGACCUGAGAAUUGGGAUCUCCAAUUUACCCCUUGAGACUCUGCUCUGGACAGCUCAUCUGCACAGUAACGCACAACACAGUUCCUGCAUCUAAGAGUGUCCGGAAAUCACCUUGAGAUGUUACAAUUCCAGGGCCGAAUGUGUCCACUCACUGGGCCAAAGAAGGUGGCUAUGGAGAUGUACAUUCAGGAAUCUCUGGCUUUUGGUUUUUUCCACAUAUCCACCUCUCCUGCAGGAGCCAGCUUCUUCUUUGUUGGUAAGAAGGAUGG
Long non-coding RNA from Xiphias gladius (swordfish), 360 nucleotides. RefSeq lists it as uncharacterized. NCBI's taxonomy places the organism in Eukaryota, Metazoa, Chordata, Actinopteri, Istiophoriformes, Xiphiidae. The transcript has 3 exons. The record is from RefSeq and is a predicted model, not a curated record.